GCUGGUGUCACUGCUCAGUGUUUUCAGUUUCCUAGUCCCACUCCUGGGGCCUUGCUUGCUAUCGUGCCUGCCCGCUUCAGAGCUAUUCAAAGGAACCUGAAUGAUUUCGGCAAAGAAUUAAGGCUUUUAAUUUCUUCACAAAUGGAACAAUAGCAAUAAUGUAUAUUCCAUGUGAUGUAUAAGUAAUAGGAAUCAGGACCUUGCUGUGCUACUGAGUUAUAUCCUGGCCCUGAAGCAAUGUAUAAUUGUUGAGGAAAGGUCUGAGAAAACAUAAAAGUAUAAGGAAGCAAGAAGUGAUGCUAGAAGCACCCUGAGCCACAGGGGAAAGCAUCCAGGCAGCCCAUCACAGGGACACACCAGUUGGCUCCCUGAGUGUUGUCAAGAAAACAGCCAUGACAGAGCAAAGGCAGAAGGAGGAGGAGCACCUUUCCUUUUACAUCUCCAGGAGCGGAGGUGACAGUGGCAGGGGCCACUGCACAGCUUCCCAGCCUGCAAGAUGCAGCUUGUUUUCUAAGUCACAUUUUCAAACAUAGUCUUGGAAAGAUCUGCAGUUUCUUGUAGGAACAAAGUUUGUCUUUUUCAAGGGCGAUCUUGUCAAAGGGUUGCCCUUGACAAUAACAAACACCAAAACCCCAGAAAGACCCAUUCCUUUUUAUUUCAUCCAUUUCUUGUGAUGAUGAGGAUCAUUGACUGAAAUGGAAGAUGGCUGUCCAUGGAUUACUUUCUACAACAUCCAAUUAAAUUAUGUUCAUGUUGUCAUGAAAA
Chinchilla lanigera (long-tailed chinchilla) is the source of this 765-nucleotide long non-coding RNA. RefSeq lists it as uncharacterized. The record is from RefSeq and is a predicted model, not a curated record. The transcript has 5 exons. Lineage: Eukaryota; Metazoa; Chordata; Mammalia; Rodentia; Chinchillidae.